This 205-nucleotide long non-coding RNA is filed under the name Nicotiana benthamiana. RNAcentral describes it as "long non-coding RNA (NBEN_LNC031833)". Lineage: Eukaryota; Viridiplantae; Streptophyta; Magnoliopsida; Solanales; Solanaceae. The record is from RNAcentral.
ACGAACUAGCAUUGCUGCAUGCAAAAUGGCGUGACCCCAAACCGAAGUGGGCAGCCGAUGGACUAGCAUUGCCGCAUGCAAAAUGGCGUGACCCCAAACCGAAGUGGGCAGCCAACGAACUAGCAUUGCUACAUGCAAAAUGGCGUGACCCCAAACCGAAGUGGGCAGCCUCGUUUUCAUGAGUAAAUGAGGUAUUCAAGAUUAU